Molecule: ribosomal RNA, 253 nt
Filed under: uncultured bacterium
Lineage: Bacteria
Description: partial 16S ribosomal RNA
Rfam family: Bacterial small subunit ribosomal RNA
Source: RNAcentral
UACGAAGGGGGCUAGCGUUGCUCGGAAUCACUGGGCGUAAAGGGUGCGUAGGCGGGGCUUUAAGUCAGGGGUGAAAUCCUGGAGCUCAACUCCAGAACUGCCUUUGAUACUGAAGAUCUUGAGUUCGGGAGAGGUGAGUGGAACUGCGAGUGUAGAGGUGAAAUUCGUAGAUAUUCGCAAGAACACCAGUGGCGAAGGCGGCUAACUGGCCCGAUACUGACGCUGAGGCACGAAAGCGUGGGGAGCAAACAGG